ACCUAGCCUUGAUAGAAACGGUUACCCCGCAGCAUGAGCAGGGGAACAAAAGGCUCCGGACCGGAGUGCGCCGGAGCGAGGAGUAAGAGUGGAUAGCAAGAGUAAGC
This 107-nucleotide unclassified non-coding RNA is filed under the name Chryseobacterium takakiae. RNAcentral's name for it is "Flavo-1 RNA". The record is from RNAcentral. Lineage: Bacteria; Pseudomonadati; Bacteroidota; Flavobacteriia; Flavobacteriales; Weeksellaceae.